UCAAAAACAUUUCCUAUCGAAUAAAAUUUUAGGUAAGUCCUGCCCAAUGAAUCUUGAAUGGCCGCGGCAACCCGUGCGAAGGUAGCGUAAUCAUUUGCCCUUUAAUUUGGGGCCUGUAUGAAUGGAUCAACGAGAAAGAAGCUGUCUCGAAUAAGACCCUAAAAACUAUACUCUAGGCGCAAAUACCUAGAUAAACAUAGAAGACAAAAAGACCCUGUCGCACUUCACCUUAUUUCAACACCAAUGAAUGCCUGAAAAUAGGUUUGGCUGGGGCGACCAAUGAUAACCACUAACAUCAUUAACCCCUGCUGGCAGGCAUGCCUCACCACUGACCAUAUAAAGAUCAUAGAAAAAGCCACCGCAGGGAUAACAGGCUAAUCCCCUCUUAGAGCCCAAAUCGACGAGGGGGGUUGGCACCUCGAUGUUGGCUUAGGGUACCCUAUAGGCGCAGCCGCCUAUAACGGAAGGUUUGUUCAACCUAAUUCACCCUACGUGAUCUGA
Molecule: ribosomal RNA, 501 nt
Filed under: Arhynchite cf. pugettensis A6200
Lineage: Eukaryota; Metazoa; Annelida; Polychaeta; Echiuroidea; Thalassematidae
Description: partial 16S rRNA
Rfam family: Bacterial large subunit ribosomal RNA
Source: RNAcentral